This 1190-nucleotide long non-coding RNA is filed under the name Zonotrichia albicollis (white-throated sparrow). RNAcentral's name for it is "lncRNA (ENSZALG00000015689.1)". Lineage: Eukaryota; Metazoa; Chordata; Aves; Passeriformes; Passerellidae. The record is from RNAcentral.
NNNNNNNNNNNNNNNGGUUCAAAACACGAGCUGGCACAAAACUCAAGUGGGAAAGCUGGGAAUGGCACAGAACAGGGGAAAACUGGGGAUGGCACAAAACAAGGGGGGAAACUGGGAAUGGCCCAAAACACGGCUAGGAAACUGGGAAUGGCACAAAAUAUGUGCGGGAAUGAUGGGAAUGGCACAAAACACAGAUGGAAACCUGGGAACAACACAAAACACAGGUGGGAAAAUGCGAAUGGUUCAAAACACGCAUGAGAAACAUGGGAAUGGCACAAAACAUGAGUGGAAAAGCUCUGAAUGGCACAAAACUCAGGUGGAAAACUGGGAAUGGUACAAAACACGUGGAAAAUUGGGAAUGGCAUAAAACACGGGUGGGAAACAGGGAAUGGUUCAAAACACAUGCUGGGAUUGGCACAAAACUCAGGUGGGAAAGCUAGGAAUGGCACAAACCAUGAGUGGAAAGCUGGGAAUAGCACAAAACUCAGGUGGAAAAUUGGGAAUGGCACAGAACAGGGGGAAACUGGGAAUGGCUCAAAACACGGGCUGGGAUUGGCACAAAACUCAGGUAGAAAACUGGGAAUGGCACAGAACAAGGGGAAAACUGGACAUGGUUCAAAACUCAGGUGGAAAACUGGGAAUGGCUCAAAAUAGGGGUGGGAAACUGGGAAUGGCACAAAACUCAGGUGGGAAAGCUGGAAAUGGCACAAAACAAGGGAAAGUGGGGAAUGGUUCAAAACACAAGCUGGGAUUGGUACAAAACUCAGGUGGGAAAGCUGGGACUGGCACAAAACUCAGGUGGAAAACUGGGAAGGGCACAAAACACAUGUGGGAAAGAUGGGAAUGGUACAAAAUAUGGGUGGGAAAGCUAGGAAUCUCACAAAUCCCAAGUAGAAAACUGGGAAUGGCACAAAACUUGGCUGGAAAACUGGGAAUGAUACAAAGUAUGGAUGGGAAAAUGGAAAUAGCACAAAACACUGGGAAUUAUACAAAACCAGGGGGAGAAGUCGGAAAUGGCACAAAACUCAAGUGGAAAAUCGGGAAUGGCACAAAAAACACGUGGGAAAGAUUGGGUGGCUCAAAACACGUGUGGAAACCUGGGAAUGGCACAAACCAUGGGUGGGAAAGCUGGGAAUGGCACAAACAAGAGGUGAAAUUUGGGAAUAGCACAAAAUAGAGGGAGAAGCCGG